This is a long non-coding RNA of Mercenaria mercenaria, 1301 nucleotides long. RefSeq lists it as uncharacterized. Lineage: Eukaryota; Metazoa; Mollusca; Bivalvia; Venerida; Veneridae. The record is from RefSeq and is a predicted model, not a curated record. The transcript has 2 exons.
UGUAAGGAAUUAAUUGCAUAAAUUGUUUUUACUCAAAAAUUGAUAUUUCAAACAAAAUAAGAAGUGAAGUUUAACUUACGUCAUAUCUUUUAUAAUACUCAUAAUGGAUACUCCUAACCAACCACUAAAUUUCAAAUUUCCAAAACGCACUUUUGGAAUAAAAAAUCCUGAACAGUGCUCAUUCAAUGUUCAGUGCUUGGCUUCACUAUGAUCCUGUAAACAUGAAGUCAUUGGGCCAACGACGGAAAACCGUCAAAGGAUAAUCGUUGUUGGGCCACUGUUGGCCCAACAAUGAUUAAUAAGUAUUGUAAAUACAGCUGUUGGGCCAACGUUGAACCAACUUUAAAUUUCAGUCACAGAUAUCUCUGCAUUGGCCCGAUAUUGAUUUUCAGGGAAAGACUUAUACAGAGAAAACAUCGUUGGCCCAACGUUGGGCCAACGUUGGUCCAUUAGAAGUAAUAAUAUAAUAAUUGUAUAUUUUACAGGUCACUGUUUUAUCACAAGCCCCCACAGGUAUACACAGGUUGUGUAGCUGUAACAUGCAAUAUUUAAUUAAUUAUUAAACACUUUUCUGCACCAAUUCAUAAUCAGUUAAAUUUGGGCUAAUUGAACUAAAAACUUAUCUGCAGCCGUAAUGAUAUUUUGAACUAUUUCAAAUCUACUACCUUGAAAAAACUGUGAAAAAAGUAUUGAAAAAAACCCUUACUAACUCUAUAACAAAUAUCUAAUUUUAUACAAUCAUAAAAUGUUUACAAUAAAUCUGUUGAAUAUUCCAGAGCAUGAACUCUCGUUAACCCGAGUUAUGUAAGAAAUCCCAGAAAAUGUGGUUAAUUUUACUCUCUAGGCCAGAUUUCUAGCUUUUUAGACAUGUGAAGUAAAGGAAACUAUUAUACAUGUGAUAGGUCUAGGUUUAACAAAAACCCGGUCUUCCAGCUAUAAACUGGUGCUGUUCAAGGGAGUAAUAAUGGAGUGCCUAGCACUGUGGUGCACAGGAAAAAAUAAAAAUAUAAAAAGCUGCAACUUCAGUGAGAAAAGAAAACAAACAAACAGAACUUGGAUAUAUAAUGAGUUAAUAUACAGACAGUAAUUCACUUUAGUAGGAUUUAAUUAGUGACUGCAAUAAGAAAAAUAUUUAGAUUUAUAAAAGACUGGAAACAAUAUUUUACAUGUUGUAGUGUUGAAAUAUUCUGUUAUAUUUCUUCAGGAAAAUUGCAAACAAACUUUAAAUAAAUGUUAGAUUUCUUUUUGUUAAAUGUUAACAAAAUCACAACUAUUUGAAAAUAAAACAUGUAUUAAACAAU